UACGUAGGUGGCAAGCGUUGUUCGGAAUUAUUGGGCGUAAAGGGCGCGUAGGCGGUGUGUCACGUCGGCCGUGAAAACCUGCAGCUUAACUGUGGGCGUGCGGUCGAUACGGGCAUCACUGGAGUUCGGCAGGGGAGACUGGAAUUCCUGGUGUAGCGGUGAAAUGCGCAGAUAUCAGGAGGAACACCGGUGGCGAAGGCGGGUCUCUGGGCCGAUACUGACGCUGAGGAGCGAAAGCGUGGGGAGCAAACAGG
Molecule: ribosomal RNA, 254 nt
Filed under: uncultured bacterium
Lineage: Bacteria
Description: partial 16S ribosomal RNA
Rfam family: Bacterial small subunit ribosomal RNA
Source: RNAcentral